GAUGAAAACUUUCCAUUUUUCCUCUCCCAAAUCAUAGACUAAACACUCUUGGCGAGCAAUGUAUAAGUAAAAUACUUACAAAGACUGCAUAUGAAAACAUUUCUUAUGCUUGCAUAUUCCCUUAAUAUAACUGUGGAAUCCACAGUAGUGAAAAUCCCUACAUUUUAGUUCAUCUCUUAGGAUGUGGUUAAGUCUAGGGUGUACACGGGUCAGGUUUGACAGAUUGAUAUUAUUCCUACGUGUAGCCAACUUGCCAACCUUCAAGAAGCGGUGGUUUGGCUAAUAUUUUGGAUAAUUG
RNAcentral lists this long non-coding RNA (298 nucleotides) under Actinidia chinensis (golden kiwifruit). Its description in RNAcentral is "long non-coding RNA (ACHI_LNC002462)". Lineage: Eukaryota; Viridiplantae; Streptophyta; Magnoliopsida; Ericales; Actinidiaceae. The record is from RNAcentral.